AGUGAACGCUGGCGGUAGGCCUAACACAUGCAAGUCGAACGGCGGCACAGUAAGAGCUUGCUCUUACGGGUGGCGAGUGGCGGACGGGUGAGGAAUACAUCGGAAUCUACUUUUUCGUGGGGGAUAACGUAGGGAAACUUACGCUAAUACCGCAUACGACCUACGGGUGAAAGCAGGGGAUCUUCGGACCUUGCGCGAUUGAAUGAGCCGAUGUCGGAUUAGCUAGUUGGCGGGGUAAAGGCCCACCAAGGCGACGAUCCGUAGCUGGUCUGAGAGGAUGAUCAGCCACACUGGAACUGAGACACGGUCCAGACUCCUACGGGAGGCAGCAGUGGGGAAUAUUGGACAAUGGGCGCAAGCCUGAUCCAGCCAUACCGCGUGGGUGAAGAAGGCCUUCGGGUUGUAAAGCCCUUUUGUUCGGAAAGAAAAGCAGCAGGUUAAUACCCCGCUGUUCUGACGGUACCCAAAGAAUAAGCACCGGCUAACUUCGUG
Molecule: ribosomal RNA, 492 nt
Filed under: uncultured bacterium
Lineage: Bacteria
Description: partial 16S ribosomal RNA
Rfam family: Bacterial small subunit ribosomal RNA
Source: RNAcentral